UACCUGGUGAGGACAAUUUAUCCUUGCUCUCUGUGUCCCCAGUGACUGUAGGAGACACCAUAGCUGCCCUUGGCCAGAGCCAGUUGGGUAGUGUCUAGGGGUCUGAGGGGCUA
Nannospalax galili (Upper Galilee mountains blind mole rat) is the source of this 113-nucleotide small nucleolar RNA. NCBI's taxonomy places the organism in Eukaryota, Metazoa, Chordata, Mammalia, Rodentia, Spalacidae. The record is from Ensembl.